AGACACGCUGCUCUUAGGAAGCAGUGCUCAAGCAUCUCGGUUCGAAUCCGAGUGGCGGCA
RNAcentral lists this transfer RNA (60 nucleotides) under Aegilops comosa. Its description in RNAcentral is "partial tRNA-Leu". The record is from RNAcentral. Lineage: Eukaryota; Viridiplantae; Streptophyta; Magnoliopsida; Poales; Poaceae.